CUAACAGUGGUUCAGUGGUAGAAUUCUUGCCUGCCACGCAGGAGACGCGGGUUCAAUUCCCAGAUAAU
RNAcentral lists this transfer RNA (68 nucleotides) under Loxodonta africana (African savanna elephant). It matches the Rfam family "tRNA". Rfam says of the family: Transfer RNA (tRNA) molecules are approximately 80 nucleotides in length. Lineage: Eukaryota; Metazoa; Chordata; Mammalia; Proboscidea; Elephantidae. The record is from Rfam by way of RNAcentral.